Molecule: long non-coding RNA, 4073 nt
Organism: Gorilla gorilla gorilla (western lowland gorilla)
Lineage: Eukaryota; Metazoa; Chordata; Mammalia; Primates; Hominidae
Exons: 3
Source: RefSeq, a predicted model, not a curated record
GUACUUGACUUGUUCUCUAAGAUACUGGGGUAGCUUUGUUGCUAGCACCUACUGAGUCCAACGGAAAAGAUAAAAUGACUAGAAAAAAAGUGAACACACAGACAAGGUAAAUAGGCACGAAUUGGAUUAUUCCAACAUCCUCUGCUGAGGUAGGAUUCAAAACUAAUCUGAUUAUAUGAAUAUUAGGAUCCACUAAGUAUCUUUCUGCAGCAAUUACCAAGCUUUCACACAUAAAAGAGGGCAUUUUCUUUAGUGCUGGGCUAAUCUAUCGAGUGUUUAGCUUCAAACUAAAAGUUGAGAGAGAGAGACUGAUUGAAGUAGCCUUACAAUGUAGUGAUGUUGCUUUCUUUUUCUCUCUUCUCUCUCCCCUCUCCUUUCUUCUUUUAUUCUCUUCUUUCUUCUCUUCAUAUUAAAUCUCAGGUUAUUUUUAUUCCUUGAGUGCAUUGAAACAUUUUCUGAUACACAAUUUUUGCCUCCUUUAAAUUCUAAUUUUGGGCUUUACAACUUGGAACCUGCCAAGAAAGCUGUACUAUCCUCUCUCAGUCAUGGUCCUGCCCAGUGGGACCAACAGCCCUCAAACCCUCAUUUUAAGCUUCCCUCUGAGUCUUAGAGACCCAGGAUUCAGUAUACAGAUAACCAAAGCUGUUCAGAAGUUUACUGUGUUGUAUCCCGUUUACUCUUCCAGAAGUUAGAUUUCUUUUUAAUGAAAAGCAAACAAAUGGCAGACUUACGUAACAGACCCUACAGGAAGACCACAUUGACACUGGAUAAUAAUGCUGUGAGUCAAAACUCCAUAAAAAUUUUAGGCAUGCAUCUUACAGAGGAAGUGCAACGUGGUGGUUACAAGAGCAAGUUCUGGUUCAAAUCCCACAUCUGCCACUUCCUAAGUAAGGAAUGAAGUUAGUUUACCACUUUUGCUUAAACAUUGGAAAAAGAAUAUCAGUAGUACCUAUUGUUGCACUAAGGUUGGUAUAAAAAGUCAAGACAAAGCUCCUAACAUUGCUUAGGUGGACUGGUUCUUAUCACUUCUCCAGAAUCACUUUGGACCUUGCUUUCCUUGGCUGCAGCCAUCCAUAACUUCUCCUUGUUCCCCACUUGUCUAACUUGCCAGCUGUCUAACUUGCCAUAGAGUCAUGUAUAUCCUGCUUUCCUUGUCUGGAAUACUCAUUCUUAAUCACUAAGCCUUUGCUGUUCUGCCCAAUUGAUUCCCACGACUACAUCACUCCCUCUUCCAAUCCUUUGAAUGGAUUCUCCAUGAGGUAGGGGCUGUGCCUACCUUUGUUCAUCAUUCUUUCCACAGCCAGGACUGGAGAGCGUGACACAUAGUAAGAACUCAACAAAUAUUAGUGCUAUCCUGAUGCAAUGUGUUAGGUCCUUGGAGCACAUGUUGGGAAAAUAAACUUCUGGCAGAUGGGAUCACUAGACACUGGGAAGACAGAAAGUAGCUUUGAAUUUCCCAUGUGAACAUUCUAGCCAUACAAUUGUGAAUUUAGUGAACAACAAACCCUGUCUUGACUGGGGAAAAAAAACUAGCAAACUUCAGGUAUAGACCCACACCAAGCUCUAAUAAUCCCACAGGCAUCCUGGGUUCACUGGGCAUUGUCUUGAAAGCCAUCCCGCAAUGGACACAAUCCUUGUAUUCAUAGGCAAUAGUCUGGGUAUUACUAUUCAAGUUUGAUCAUUUCUCUGCAAGUCCAGUGGCUAAAUACAUAUUUUAAUUGAGCCCAGGAGUGUUGAUUUGCAGACAUAGUAUAGAAAAAAAUCACAGGAAAAAUGGGAAGUUGAAGGAGCCUUUUACCUUUGAAUGGAAUAUGAUACUUACAAAACAUCAAUAACAAUUUUCUAUUGGGGAAAAGCCUGCGGCAAGAAUAACCAGUUUAGUUUUUAAGUGGCGACUGGACAGAAAAACAAGAAAACAAAACUGCCAUAGUAAGCCAGGUAAGGUAGUUUAACUGGAUAAAAUCCAAUGCAAUUGGUUUUCUGUGAUGUUAACAUACAGAAAUUAUCAUUAGCCAAUGAAAAGGCCCCAAUGUCCAAAAUGAUGUUAAAUGUUAUCAUGGUGACCAAAAUGUAACUACAUACAUUCAAUAAAAAAUAAAAUGACCAGAGUGAGUGAGGAUGAAAUAUUAUCAGUUAAAUGGCACAAAACUUACACUGACGAGGUUCACACAUGCAUGAACCACAUCUCUAAGUGCUCCCCAAACAACCAGAUUGUUAUUGACAAUCUGUGUGCAAAGCACCGUAGUCAUCACUAUCAUUUGCCUUCAAUAAACUUGUCUAGAUGAGCUGCCCCAUGACAGAGAUGUCAAUAAAAACUAAACAGAGUAUAAAAACUGAGAGCAUUAAGAGGUGGAUCAUGAAAGUUACCUUUUUAAAAAGGAGAUUCCAUAGUUUUCAACAUCAACUGAACAACUUUCUGUUGAUUUAACUGUAAAGUAACACUAUUUCAGAUUUUUGAUACCCAAAACAGAGCUGCUGUUUAGCAGAUGGGGGGAAGAAAGUGACCAUGAGCCGCACCCUCCAGAAUCUUCCUCCUUCUUAUCUAUACAUCCCGUCUCCCAAGUUACAGGGAACAGAGGCUGAGAACUUCCAAUAACAGCUAACAUUUAUUGAGAACUUACUCUAAGAUAGGCAUUGUUGCAAGAGCUUUACAUUUAUUAUCUUACUUAAUCAUCACAAGAAUCUCAUGAGAAAGGCAUGGCUAAUGUUUCCAUUUUAUAGAAGAGGGACACUGAGGCUCAGGGAACUUAAGUAACUCCUCCCAGGUCACACAGUCAGUGGCUUUGUUGGGAUGUAAAUUCAGGCAGUCUAACUUAAGAGCUUGGGAUCCCCACCACCACUCUCUACCACUUCAUAACCAUUAUGAGCUCCUGAUGGUUGAGAUCAUCCUGGAAACAUCCCAAAUAAAUAAAACAAAGCUUCUAAGGGCUUUGGAGGCUCCACAGGAAGCCCAAAUGUGGCCCUUUCAUAGAUCGUUAAGUCUUAUAUGGAGUGUUUGCACAUAACAAACGUUUUCCUAAUAAUCUACAUUUUUUUUUAAAUUCCAAGGCACUAAUGGGGGAUGUCACUAAGUUUGGUGGAUUUUCAAUUGUUUAAAAAUAAACCUUACCAACAUUCUUAACCUUUCUAGUGGGCUUUCCCAUUGCUUGAUUCUAUAGCAUAUAAUCAUCACAUAAAGAACUAUCUACUUAUGUGGAAGCAAGAAAGGGAAAACAAACCAAUGGAAAACACAAACAUAGGCAUGUUUGUUGUUUCAUACUGAGGGUUAUUUAGUUUGGAUAAUAAAUCAUUACAAUGAAUGUCAACACAGCACAGGGGAACUGGAGUAGUUAGUUGCAUAUGCUAAUGGAAGACGCGCAUUACUAAUAAGGGAGAGAAUGAACAACUCUAGCCACAUGCUAGUUAUCACUGCAAAUCUCAAGACAAGCCACGUUCACAUUGAGCAUAUGACUGCUGUAUGACAGUUCAGGCAAAUAUUCACAUGUCAACAGCAAUAGCUCCCAUACUCCAUCCAAGACUACUGAAGAGUUUAAAAAUAAAGCUCUCCUUGUCAUGCACCAAGACGUCAAGCUUAAACACAUCUGCCAGUCAAAGGGAUUUUGCCAGUCUUUUACCCCCACAAGUGUGGUCUACAGACUUCAAGUAUAUCAGAGUUCAAAAUACAAAGAACUGGAAGGUUAUCCACAAAUUCCUGCAUGUUCCUCAUUAUGGAUAGAUGAAAGAAGACAACUGCACCUUCUGGGGCACAACUCUAACCCCCUACAUUUGCAUACCCAGUCAUUUGUAAACGGAAAGAAACACAUCCCUGCAUUUGCCCAGAGGUAAAUGUUUACUCAGAAAGGUGACUUCUGACAUUGACAAUAAUGUCAGUUUUCCAUCUGCAUAUUUUAAGCUGGAAUGUAAAGUUGAGAAUUUUUCAGCAUCUCCCUGUCUGCCAGAUCCUAUCUGAGAUGCCUACGCUAAGAAGCCAACACAGAGACACGCAAUGCACACUAUCAGCAGGAGUGGCUUGGAAAUUCUGACUUGUAUUGAUUGAGACACCUUCCCACGAAGAAAGAUGGGAUUAGUAAUAA